RNAcentral lists this ribosomal RNA (253 nucleotides) under uncultured bacterium. RNAcentral's name for it is "partial 16S ribosomal RNA". It matches the Rfam family "Bacterial small subunit ribosomal RNA", at positions 524 to 776 of the family's 1533-position model. The record is from RNAcentral.
UACGGAGGGUGCAAGCGUUAUCCGGAUUUACUGGGUUUAAAGGGUGCGUAGGCGGGCAGGUAAGUCAGUGGUGAAAUCCCCGAGCUCAACUUGGGAACUGCCGUUGAUACUAUCUGUCUUGAAUACCGUGGAGGUGAGCGGAAUAUGUCAUGUAGCGGUGAAAUGCUUAGAUAUGACAUAGAACACCGAUUGCGAAGGCAGCUCACUACGCGGUCAUUGACGCUGAGGCACGAAAGCGUGGGGAUCAAACAGG